RNAcentral lists this ribosomal RNA (447 nucleotides) under uncultured bacterium. RNAcentral describes it as "bacterial SSU rRNA". It matches the Rfam family "Bacterial small subunit ribosomal RNA", at positions 331 to 792 of the family's 1533-position model. The record is from RNAcentral.
CCAGACUCCUACGGGAGGCAGCAGUGGGGGAUAUUGGACAAUGGGGGGAACCCUGAUCCAGCGACGCCGCGUGAGUGAAGAAGUAUCUCGAUAUGUAAAGCUCUAUCAGCAGGGAAGAAAGAAAUGACGGUACCUGAGUAAGAAGCCCCGGCUAACUACGUGCCAGCAGCCGCGGUAAUACGUAGGGGGCAAGCGUUAUCCGGAAUUACUGGGUGUAAAGGGAGCGUAGACGGUGAAGUAAGUCUGGAGUGAAAGGCGGGGGCCCAACCCCCGGACUGCUCUGGAAACUAUUUGACUGGAGUGCAGGAGAGGUAAGCGGAAUUCCUAGUGUAGCGGUGAAAUGCGUAGAUAUUAGGAGGAACACCAGUGGCGAAGGCGGCUUACUGGACUGUAACUGACGUUGAGGCUCGAAAGCGUGGGGAGCAAACAGGAUUAGAUACCCUAGUA